RNAcentral lists this ribosomal RNA (392 nucleotides) under uncultured bacterium. Its description in RNAcentral is "partial 16S ribosomal RNA". It matches the Rfam family "Bacterial small subunit ribosomal RNA", at positions 523 to 918 of the family's 1533-position model. The record is from RNAcentral.
AUACGGAGGAUCCGAGCGUUAUCCGGAUUUAUUGGGUUUAAAGGGUGCGCAGGCGGCCAUUUAAGUCAGCGGUUAAAUCGUGGGGCUCAACCCCAUUCUGCCGUUGAUACUGGGUGGCUUGAUUGCGGUCGAGGUUGGCGGAAUUCGUUGUGUAGCGGUGAAAUGCAUAGAUAUGACGAAGAACACCGAUUGCGUAGGCAGCUGACCAGACCGCAAAUGACGCUCAUGCACGAAAGUGCGGAGAUCGAACAGGAUUAGAUACCCUGGUAGUCCGCACAGUAAACGAUGAAUACUUGUUUUCGGCGAUAUAAUGUCGGAGGCAAAGCGAAAGCGAUAAGUAUUCCACCUGGGGAGUACGCCGGCAACGGUGAAACUCAAAUGAAUUGACGGGG